This 464-nucleotide ribosomal RNA is filed under the name Vreelandella stevensii. Its description in RNAcentral is "partial 16S ribosomal RNA". It matches the Rfam family "Bacterial small subunit ribosomal RNA", at positions 338 to 795 of the family's 1533-position model. The record is from RNAcentral. Lineage: Bacteria; Pseudomonadati; Pseudomonadota; Gammaproteobacteria; Oceanospirillales; Halomonadaceae.
CCUACGGGGGGCUGCAGUGGGGAAUAUUGGGCAAUGGGCGAAAGCCUGAUCCAGCCAUGCCGCGUGUGUGAAGAAGGCCUUCGGGUUGUAAAGCACUUUCAGUGGGGAAGAAAGCCUUGGGGCUAAUACCCUCGAGGAAGGACAUCACCCACAGAAGAAGCACCGGCUAACUCCGUGCCAGCAGCCGCGGUAAUACGGAGGGUGCGAGCGUUAAUCGGAAUUACUGGGCGUAAAGCGCGCGUAGGCGGUCUGAUAAGCCGGUUGUGAAAGCCCCGGGCUCAACCUGGGAACGGCAUCCGGAACUGUCAGGCUAGAGUGCAGGAGAGGAAGGUAGAAUUCCCGGUGUAGCGGUGAAAUGCGUAGAGAUCGGGAGGAAUACCAGUGGCGAAGGCGGCCUUCUGGACUGACACUGACGCUGAGGUGCGAAAGCGUGGGUAGCAAACAGGAUUAAUACCCGGGUAGUC